This 254-nucleotide ribosomal RNA is filed under the name uncultured bacterium. RNAcentral's name for it is "partial 16S ribosomal RNA". It matches the Rfam family "Bacterial small subunit ribosomal RNA", at positions 524 to 776 of the family's 1533-position model. The record is from RNAcentral.
UACGAAGGGGGCUAGCGUUGUUCGGAAUUACUGGGCGUAAAGCGCGCGCAGGCGGCUAUCCAAGUCAGUGGUGAAAGCCCGGAGCUCAACUCCGGAACUGCCAUUGAAACUGUUUAGCUUGAGUAUGAGAGAGGUGAGUGGAAUUCCCAGUGUAGAGGUGAAAUUCGUAGAUAUUGGGAAGAACACCGGUGGCGAAGGCGGCUCACUGGCUCAUUACUGACGCUCAGGCGCGACAGCGUGGGGAGUCAAACAGG